Molecule: non-coding RNA, 46 nt
Filed under: Trichobilharzia regenti
Lineage: Eukaryota; Metazoa; Platyhelminthes; Trematoda; Strigeidida; Schistosomatidae
Source: RNAcentral
UCACUGCUGAAGAGUCCCAAACUAGGACGAAACAGAUGUCCAGUAC